This 253-nucleotide ribosomal RNA is filed under the name uncultured bacterium. Its description in RNAcentral is "partial 16S ribosomal RNA". It matches the Rfam family "Bacterial small subunit ribosomal RNA", at positions 524 to 776 of the family's 1533-position model. The record is from RNAcentral.
UACGAAGGGGGCAAGCGUUGUUCGGAAUUACUGGGCGUAAAGGGCUCGUAGGCGGCCAACUAAGUCAUACGUGAAAUCCCUCAGCUUAACUGGGGAACUGCGUGUGAUACUGGAUGGCUUGGAUUUGGGAGAGGGAUGCGGAAUUCCAGGUGUAGCGGUGAAAUGCGUAGAUAUCUGGAGGAACACCGGUGGCGAAGGCGGCAUCCUGGACCAAUAUUGACGCUGAGGAGCGAAAGCCAGGGGAGCAAACGGG